UGGGGGAUAUUGCACAAUGGGGGGAACCCUGAUGCAGCGACGCCGCGUGAGUGAAGAAGUAUCUCGGUAUGUAAAGCUCUAUCAGCAGGGAAGAACAAAGACGGUACCUGACUAAGAAGCCCCGGCUAACUACGUGCCAGCAGCCGCGGUAAUACGUAGGGGGCGAGCGUUAUCCGGAUUUACUGGGUGUAAAGGGAGCGUAGACGGCAUGGCAAGUCUGGAGUGAAAGCCCGGGGCCCAACCCCGGGACUGCUCUGGAAACUGUCAGGCUGGAGUGCUGGAGAGGUAAGUGGAAUUCCUAGUGUAGCGGUGAAAUGCGUAGAUAUUAGGAGGAACACCAGUGGCGAAGGCGGCUUACUGGACAGCAACUGACGUUGAGGCUCGAAAGCGUGGGGAGCAAACAGG
This 405-nucleotide ribosomal RNA is filed under the name uncultured bacterium. Its description in RNAcentral is "bacterial SSU rRNA". It matches the Rfam family "Bacterial small subunit ribosomal RNA", at positions 355 to 776 of the family's 1533-position model. The record is from RNAcentral.